Conger conger (European conger) is the source of this 1772-nucleotide long non-coding RNA. RefSeq lists it as uncharacterized. The record is from RefSeq and is a predicted model, not a curated record. The transcript is spliced from 3 exons. NCBI's taxonomy places the organism in Eukaryota, Metazoa, Chordata, Actinopteri, Anguilliformes, Congridae.
GGGCAAAAUUUACAACCAGCGACAAGGAACGUCAAUACGGCUUGUAAGAUUAAGGGGGGAUUAAGGUGUUUUAUCUGGAACCUGGGGAACCUCUGGCGACCCAGGGGAGGGGACCUGCCCACGGUCGAGUGACCGUGCAUCUCAUUCCGGAAAGGUCCGGGGCGUCCGCCGGGCCAGACAGAACCAGCAGGACGCGGUCGCAGUGGUCACCCCUCCGGUUUCUGCAUAUCGAUAACCUCUUUAACGCACCGGAUGGAUGUCCUCAGCUGGCCAACAUAGCCUGAUGAAGACUUGUUGGAGGUCAACGCAUGUACCGUACAAGAUGUUCAGCAUGGUAACUGGUACAGGUGCUCAACACCGAAGGCUUGUUGGAGGUCACGGCCCGUGCAAGAGGUUCAGGUAGACACAACCACACAUCACUCGAAGACAGUAGUGGUAUUAACUUUCCCAAACAUUGUCGAUCCGUCGGCCGCUUACAGUGUAUUUCUGCACCGUCGGGCCCAUUGUUUAACAAAACAGCCUGUUGGGGCUGCGGUGUAGCUGCCGUAUUGUGUGUCUGAAGCCCGAGUCCGGCUCCGUCUCUCCCUCAGAAGUCCGGACUCCCGUCCCUCCCCUCCGCUCAGAUCUGGGGCUUCACGGUCCGACCGGCUCUGACACGCGCGCCUCUCCUUUGGCUACGGCGGAAACCCAACAGCUGGGCGUCUGGCCCGCCGGUCUGCUCCUCACCGUGGAACAAGGGCGUGGGAAACCGCGUCGCCGGCCGCCAUGUUUUCGUACGGCCCGUUACCGGAGUCCCGUGUUUUCCACCGGUCCACAUGGCCGCCGUCUGGUCGACCAGCCCCGCCCUACCCCCAGCCCCCUCCCCGACGGUUACCCACAAGCCCCUUCUCCGAGAAAAGGCUGUCUUUGGGAGCAGGAAGCGGUGUCGCGGAGUUCAUCGAAUCUUUAAGAGCAGGCUGUUCUCCAUCAGCCAAAUGGGCCUCUCCAUCACCCGAAUGGACAAACCCCGGUACUCGUGCGGUUCUGACUGCAAAUUCAUUACCAGACCGUACUUUUAGAUUAGACUUUAUUACAGAUAGAGCGUCCUUUCCAUUCAUUAUGUUCUCUUUUUGCUAAGCCUUUAGUAGCACUUAGCCUUUAGAGUGCACGGCUGAAAUCUGUUACAGAGCAUAACUAUUACGGUUUUAACACAGGUGCCGCAUUAUGUCUGAAAACCAAACCGUUCAUUUAGAGGUUGAAUAUUAACAUAAGUGCAACACAAAGGUAAGGUAAGGACGGAUAAAAUGUGUAGAAAAUUAAAACAAGUUCAGUUCCAUUUUAUUCGGUCCUGCAUUUUAGCACUACCAGUAAUACAAUUCAUACUAUUAUAAUAACUAUACAUAUUUCUGUGCAUCUAUAGAAAUACCCCCAGUGAGAUUAAAGAAAGAAAGCAUAGUGCAGUGGUCGGAAGCACUACAGCAUAAUUGGUGUACAUUUGAUUGCCCAGUGGGACACUGAUGUGAGGCACUUAACUUCAAUUUAAUAUUUAAUAUAGUUAAUAUUCCGCUAAAUAACAGCAAAUGCAAGUUAAGCCAGUGCGCAUCUGGGAAAAGAAUCAAAUAAACACAUUUUCACAAAGGCAACGUUCUAGCGUCGCUCCAGACCAGCUUUGUUAGCGCGGAGACGCACAGUAGCUCUUUGGCUAAUUUGGAAAUGGGCUUCAAACCUGCGCCUCUCCCUCUCUCCCUCUCAGCCCCAAUCAUGGAAAUAAGCUGCCGCUGGUGACAGGGGGG